UGGGCUAUCGCCAAACGGUAAGGCAACGGACUCUGACUCCGUCAUUUCCUGGUUCGAAUCCAGGUAGCCCAGCGA
Molecule: transfer RNA, 75 nt
Filed under: Lachnospiraceae bacterium
Lineage: Bacteria; Bacillati; Bacillota; Clostridia; Lachnospirales; Lachnospiraceae
Description: tRNA-Gln
Rfam family: tRNA
About the family: Transfer RNA (tRNA) molecules are approximately 80 nucleotides in length.
Source: RNAcentral